This 1352-nucleotide ribosomal RNA is filed under the name uncultured bacterium. RNAcentral describes it as "bacterial SSU rRNA". It matches the Rfam family "Bacterial small subunit ribosomal RNA", at positions 28 to 1381 of the family's 1533-position model. The record is from RNAcentral.
AUUGAACGCUUGCGGCAUGCCUUACACAUGCAAGUCGAACGGUAACGGGUCCUUCGGGAUGCCGACGAGUGGCGAACGGGUGAGUAAUAUAUCGGAACGUGCCCAGUAGUGGGGGAUAACUGCUCGAAAGAGCAGCUAAUACCGCAUACGACCUGAGGGUGAAAGGGGGGGAUCGCAAGACCUCUCGCUAUUGGAGCGGCCGAUAUCAGAUUAGCUAGUUGGUGGGGUAAAGGCCUACCAAGGCAACGAUCUGUAGUUGGUCUGAGAGGACGACCAGCCACACUGGGACUGAGACACGGCCCAGACUCCUACGGGAGGCAGCAGUGGGGAAUUUUGGACAAUGGGCGCAAGCCUGAUCCAGCAAUGCCGCGUGCAGGAAGAAGGCCUUCGGGUUGUAAACUGCUUUUGUCAGGGAAGAAAUCUUCUGGGCUAAUACCCCGGGAGGAUGACGGUACCUGAAGAAUAAGCACCGGCUAACUACGUGCCAGCAGCCGCGGUAAUACGUAGGGUGCGAGCGUUAAUCGGAAUUACUGGGCGUAAAGCGUGCGCAGGCGGCUUUGCAAGACAGAUGUGAAAUCCCCGGGCUCAACCUGGGAACUGCAUUUGUGACUGCAAGGCUAGAGUACGGCAGAGGGGGAUGGAAUUCCGCGUGUAGCAGUGAAAUGCGUAGAUAUGCGGAGGAACACCAAUGGCGAAGGCAAUCCCCUGGGCCUGUACUGACGCUCAUGCACGAAAGCGUGGGGAGCAAACAGGAUUAGAUACCCUGGUAGUCCACGCCCUAAACGAUGUCAACUGGUUGUUGGACGGCUUGCUGUUCAGUAACGAAGCUAACGCGUGAAGUUGACCGCCUGGGGAGUACGGCCGCAAGGUUGAAACUCGAAGGAAUUGACGGGGACCCGCACAAGCGGUGGAUGAUGUGGUUUAAUUCGAUGCAACGCGAAAAACCUUACCUACCCUUGACAUGUCAAGAAUUCUGCAGAGAUGUGGAAGUGCUCGAAAGAGAACUUGAACACAGGUGCUGCAUGGCCGUCGUCAGCUCGUGUCGUGAGAUGUUGGGUUAAGUCCCGCAACGAGCGCAACCCUUGUCAUUAGUUGCUACGCAAGAGCACUCUAAUGAGACUGCCGGUGACAAACCGGAGGAAGGUGGGGAUGACGUCAGGUCCUCAUGGCCCUUAUGGGUAGGGCUACACACGUCAUACAAUGGCCGGUACAGAGGGCUGCCAACCCGCGAGGGGGAGCCAAUCCCAGAAAACCGGUCGUAGUCCGGAUCGUAGUCUGCAACUCGACUGCGUGAAGUCGGAAUCGCUAGUAAUCGCGGAUCAGCUUGCCGCGGUGAAUACGUUCCCGGGUCU